GCCUACGGGACGCAGCAGUGGGGAAUAUUGCACAAUGGGCGCAAGCCUGAACGAGCGAUGCCGCGUGAGUGAAGAAGGCCUUCGGGUCGUAAAGCUCUGUUGCGGGGGAAAAAAGGCAGCAUCAGGAAAUGGGUGCUGACUGAUGGUGCCCCGCCAGAAAGUCACGGCUAACUACGUGCCAGCAGCCGCGGUAAUACGUAGGUGGCGAGCGUUAUCCGGAAUGAUUGGGCGUAAAGGGAACGCAGGCGGUCUUUUAAGUCUGAUGUGAAAGCCUUCGGCUUAACCGGAGUAGUGCAUUGGAAACU
RNAcentral lists this ribosomal RNA (305 nucleotides) under uncultured bacterium. RNAcentral's name for it is "bacterial SSU rRNA". It matches the Rfam family "Bacterial small subunit ribosomal RNA", at positions 337 to 634 of the family's 1533-position model. The record is from RNAcentral.